RNAcentral lists this ribosomal RNA (1339 nucleotides) under uncultured bacterium. Its description in RNAcentral is "bacterial SSU rRNA". It matches the Rfam family "Bacterial small subunit ribosomal RNA", at positions 28 to 1381 of the family's 1533-position model. The record is from RNAcentral.
GACGAACGCUUGCGGCGUGCCUAAGAAAUGCAAGUCGAACGGUCGGCAUCUUCGGAUGUCGGUAGUGGCGAACGGUCGCGUAACACGUAAGCAACCUGCCCCAAAGUUUGGGACAACAGUCCGAAAGGGCUGCUAAUACCGGAUGUGCCCAGUUCUUGGCAUCAGGAACUGUGUAAAGCUUUUAUGUGCUUUGGGAUGGGCUUGCGGCCUAUCAGGUAGUUGGUGGGGUAACGGCCUACCAAGCCAUUGACGGGUAGCUGGUCUGAGAGGACGAUCAGCCGGAUUGGGACUGAGAUACGGCCCAGACUCCUACGGGGGGCAGCAAUUAGGAAUCUUGCGCAAUGGGGGCAACCCUGACGCAGCGACGCCGCGUGGAGGAAGACGGCUUUCGGGUUGUAAACUCCUUUUAACGGGGAAGAAGCAAGUGACGGUACCCGUUGAAUAAGCCCCGGCUAACUACGUGCCAGCAGCCGCGGUAAUACGUAGGGGGCGAGCGUUGUCCGAAGUUACUGGGCGUAAAGCGCGCGUAGGCGGCUUGUUAAGUUCGUGGUGAAAGGUUCAACGCUCAACGUGAACAGUGCCGUGGAUACUGGCAGGCUUGAGUUUGGGAGAGGAGUGCGGAAUUCCUGGUGUAGCGGUGAAAUGCGUAGAUAUCAGGAGGAACCCCGGUGGCGAAGGCGGCACUCUGGCCUAAAACUGACGCUGAGGCGCGAAAGCGUGGGGAGCGAACGGGAUUAGAUACCCCGGUAGUCCACGCCGUAAACGAUGGGUGCUAAGUGUCGGGGGUAUCGACCCCCCCGGUGCUGUCGCAAACGCAUUAAGCAUCCCGCCUGGGGAGUACGGCCGCAAGGUUGAAACUCAAAGGAAUUGACGGGGGCCCGCACAAGCGGUGGAGCAUGUGGAUUAAUUCGUCACUAACCGAAGAACCUUACCCAGACUUGACAUCCUCGGACCGCGGCUGAAAGGUCGUUUUACCCUUCGGGGUACCGGGAGACAGGUGUUGCAUGGCUGUCGUCGGCUCGUGUCGUGAGAUGUUGGGUUAAGUCCCGCAACGAGCGCAACCCUCAUGGUAUGUUGGCAGCGUAAAGUCGGCCACUCUUACCAAACUGCCCGUGCAAGCGGGAGGAAGGUGGGGAUGACGUCAAGUCGGCAUGGCCCUUACGUCUGGGGCUUCACACAUGCUACAAUGGCCGGGACAGACCGUUCCGAGACCGCGAGGUGGAGGUAAUCGGAGAAACCCAGUCCAAGUUCGGAUUGCAGGCUGCAACUCGCCUGCAUGAAGCCGGAAUCGCUAGUAACCGCCGGUCAGCAAAACGGCGGUGAAUACGUUCCCGGGCCU